CUAAAUGAAUAAUCUGCAAAACAACACCAAAUAUAUAUAAUUUGCCCUCACAUGCCAUAUACUUUUUAGAUAUAUUAUUACGUGAAACUUUAUUUUUCUUCUCUCAUUUUCCCUUUUCUCUCCACCAACCACCUUCUUUCUUCCGCCAGAUUCAUUUUUUAAAUUGUAGGUCCUCCGCCGAUCUCUGCCUCAGCCACCGUUGUCCCACCGUUUUUGCCUUUAUUAAUCGCCACCACCACCACUCCGUUCAAUUGAGAUUCAACACCGGCGACGAGAUCUCAACAAAAGCGGAGAUGAAAAACAUAAGAAAUCAAAAAGUCAAUUCCGCCCAUCCUGCCGCCGCAGGAGAAGCUGUUGCUGGGGAAUUGCUAUGGCAUUGGAUGUGUGACUUGUGUUUCUGAGGUGUAUUACCUUCCACCUCUACACCGCCUCCAGCUCUUCCCUUUCACCUCCGCCCGUCGCGCUCUCCGCUGCAGCCGCCAAAGUCGUUAGAGAGGGUAUGGUUUUUGAUAACACCAUUAGAGAGGCUCCAAUGGUUAAUCUCGGAUUUAUCUUCUUCUUCUUCUUCUUCUUUUUUUUUUUUUUUAAUCACAUUGUUGAGGUCGGUAAUGAGAAUAGUGCAUUUUUGGAGAGUGGGGGCGAAGGUGAUUCACGAAGAUGGUGUUUUUGUUGUUGUAUUCGUUGGAAUUUGUUUCGCUAGAAUUGUGGUAUUUGUUUUGUAGUUGUUUAAAAAAAUGUAUAGUUGAUUUAAAUAUCUUUAGUUUGUAGUUAUUCUCAAUAGUUUUGUAAUUGUUUUCGAUAACUUUUAGUUGAUUUUGCUAAUUUUGUAG
RNAcentral lists this long non-coding RNA (830 nucleotides) under Erythranthe guttata (spotted monkey flower). Its description in RNAcentral is "long non-coding RNA (EGUT_LNC002681)". The record is from RNAcentral. Lineage: Eukaryota; Viridiplantae; Streptophyta; Magnoliopsida; Lamiales; Phrymaceae.